Molecule: long non-coding RNA, 9686 nt
Organism: Mesocricetus auratus (golden hamster)
Lineage: Eukaryota; Metazoa; Chordata; Mammalia; Rodentia; Cricetidae
Exons: 2
Source: RefSeq, a predicted model, not a curated record
GAGAGAGAGCUACUGCCUUUAUAUGCCUACAAUGUGAUCAUUUGAGGCAUAUUCCUUCCUUUGAGAUCAUAUUAUUGAGAUUCUUUUAUAAUCCCCAUCAGUUUAUUCAAUGUCCAAUUCUUUGACAGAGAUAAAUUGGGGGGGGCAAUUUGAAAAGUAGCUUUGAGAAAAAAUAUUUUCUCAUCUCCAUGAAGUUCAACCAAAACAUAAAUUCUCAAGCAUCAGUUGUACUGGUCUGCGUAUCAUAAGGACAAUUGUUUUGUUUUAUAAUCAUUCUAGAAGUAUCUUGAAGCUUGUGGACUAUUGAUUCCCUUCUCCCUCCCCUGACUAUAUCUUACAUUUCCAGUAUCUCCAGUAUUUCUUCUACAGAAAGGAUUUCUCCAUUUCUUUAAGAUUAGUUUAAUAAGAACCUAACCAUACCAUUUUCUAUUUAAAAGUACGUUCUGCCUUUGUCAUAAAUUCUGUCUUCCCAAUAUCCUUUCUUUCAUAUAUAACUGUAUAGAUUUGCAGACAGAGCCUCCUUGUUCUAGCAAUUAGCAAGCUGAUCCUUUAAGGUUAUUGCUGCAGGACUGCGUGUUUUCAUUGAGUUCCAUAUUGCCCAAAUCGAUCACUUUUUCUUUAUUUUCUUACUUACUCAUUUACUCAGGAGCAUUCAAUGGGACUAGCUAUCUCCAUUUCUUUAAAUACUUGUUUCUCUUCAUUUAAACAGCAAAAUGAUGUCAAGCAUCACAGGCUGCUUUGUCCUAGUAUUACUUGGUAGUUUCUGACCCCUUUCUGGCAUCUGUAUUCUGAACCUUCUGAUUCUUGGACUUUGACCCCCCCUUUGAAAUCUAUAUUCAUACUUUAAAUGAUCUCAUCUGAUCCUCUGGUUUUAAGUGACAUCCAUACAUCAACAUUUCCUCAGUAAUCCCUAUAAUACAGGAUUCUUUUAAUCAGAUUUUACCUCACAUAGACACUCUCCCACCCAAGAUCACUACCUACUUUCAUAACAUGGAUUUAGUAUCUUACAUGUUCAAAAUAAAAUAUUUAACUUUGUUCCUGAUAACAAUUGAUUAGACACUUAGACCAACGCCUCCUCUUUCCAGUUCUAGAGCUAAAAGAAGUAAAGAGGAUAUAUCUUAAUUUUCCUAAAAAGCAGCAAAUUUUUGACAAGACAAGAAGGAAUCACUAUUCUAAGCUGGGGUGGAAAUGAAAUUGAGAAAGGCAAAUGAGUACAGCAGCUAUUGCACUGUGAGAAAAGCUGCCAACCUAUAUAGUGGGAGGAAACCUUGGCCACAUAUGUAUUUGACAGUGUAUUAGCCACAAUGCAUAAAUAACUAAAAAUAUUAAACAUCAAAAGAAUCAACCAAUCAAUAGAUGUGCCGAAUGGAUGGAACAGUUCUCAAAAGAAACACUGCAAAAGACAAUUGAAAAAGUGUUCACCAUUCUCAGGUAAGAGAAUACUGAAAAUAUAAGCUGCACUGAAAUCCCAUUUCACCUCUGUAAGAAUGGCCAGGAGCAUGCUACCUGAAAAUUACUAACAUCUAUUCUGUCAUAGGAGGAACUGCCUGAGGUUCUAGUUCGAGUUCAUUCACAACUGUGGACAUACACACUGUCUUUCCUCCUUGUCUUUAAUAUGACAGGUAGUAGUUUAAGAGAGUUCAGGAAAUUGAGCAAGGCCACUGAUUAUUUAGUGCAGGAAGCAUGACUCUACCAUUUACCUUUAUGAUUUAAAAAUCUACUCUCCAAGUCAUUACAUCAUUUAAAAAGAUUUAUCUUUAUUUUAUGUGUGUGUGUGUGUUUGCCUGGUUGUAUAUAAGUGCACUGCAUUUAUGUCUGGGAUCCACAGGGACUAGAGAUGGCACAGAUCUUCUGGGACUACAGUAAAAGACAGUUGUAAGACACCCACCUUGUCUUGUCAAUGGCAGUGGGUGCUCUUAACCACUGAGCUCUCUCCAACCUACCUCCAACCCAUUAUCCCCCAGUCAAUAGUCUUACAAGGUUUUCUUAUGAAUAUCAACCAAGGAAGCUCCACCAGCCAAACCCUGAAGCUUUGCACAGAUCUCUGGUUAAAUUUUGCCAUUAUUUCUCUAUGGGUGUGGACCUGCCCAUACCAGCAGUUCUGUCUGUGGUAGUGUGCUGAAUUUGCAGGUCCUGAGGUUUCCUUGGCAGGCUGCCAUCCAUUCUCACCUUCUCAGGCUUGUGGCUACAACAGUUGGCACACCAUUUUCCUGCCUGCUCUUUCUAAACAUUUCUUCCAUCUGAUUAGUAAUUUAAAAUCUCCCUGUUGUGUUUGUUGAUCUCCACCUGCUUGUUGCUUUUCCUGUGUUUAGAGGUUGAAAUGCUGUGUUGGUGCAAACUUAACAAGACACACAUCCUUUGGAACUACCCAGAUGGCAGAGCACAGGAUGAGAGUCACACGGCUCAGUUUCAUUGAGUUCAUCUCUGCACUAAGGAUUCCACAUUCAAAGUUAGAGUUCAGUUGCCCAAAACUGGCUAAUAAUGAUUUCAAUAAAAAUAUCUUUUCAUUUGCUGACUGCAACCCCAAUAAACAACUGGCUUCUAUCAAGUCUCAGAAUAAGUUUCUUUCCAAAGAGGGACUUUGAAAAAAAUCUUUAAAAGACAAUGCAUACCAAAGGAAGCUACUUGUAUUUCCUGGGUGAGCUUGGGCCACUGGGAACCUGAAAGGUUGGGAAUACAUACUCUGAACCAAAACACCAGAGAUUACAUUUUAGCCUCUUAAAUUUAUUGAGAAGUCACUGGAGUGGUUGUCAGUGCUCAGAAUAUUGUACUAACACAAAAGAAAUGCUAACCUUGACAUGAAAGUAAUCGACCACAAGCAGAAAGGCUUUAUUGGACAGAUGUAGACUCUUCAAAGCACAGCUAAUAUUUUGUUUGUUUCUUAUCAAAGUUAUUUGCCUAUUUCACUAUUGGAUUCCUACUAAUGACAAUGCCUAGGAGGUACCCCAUUGUUUUAGGAGGCAGGUUUACAACUUCAGUUCUCAGCAUUUCAGUUCACAUACCUCUGGUUUUAUUUGUUUACUCCUACAUCAGUUUGGCCAAUUGUGUUCAUGGCACUAGACCUUCACCUCAAAUAAAACAUAAGUACUUCAGACAUCUUAAACAGUAGCAUCUUAGCUCUGUCCCUAGCACUUGUUCUAUCUGUUAGACCGUGAUAGGUGGAGGAGAUGUGAAAACAAAAGAAAGACUGGGCCAGCCCCAACAAUUGCAGAUUGCCUUCAUGGCAACAGUCUGAACAGGAGUGGAGACUGUGCAUACACACCUAGGCACAAUGAAGUUGAAGAUUUCACAGGGCUGAAAAGAGAACUGUGGUUGAGGUGUAAAAUUCAAUCUAUAGACCUGCAGUCUAUUUCCUGCAGUCUCAGGCCAGCAAAUGCUGGAGAUGUUCUAAUUAAAGUGUUGAGUUUCUCAUCAGGAGUUGCUCAGCUCAUGGCUACUGGCAGUGUCCUUACUAAUAUGCUAACUCUCAAGCAUCCUUCAACUAUCCUAUAGUUCUUUCUUUUACGUCAUUAACCCUUUAGUGUCCCCCCUUUCAUCUUGACUUUGUUCUGUUUCCCUCAUCUCAUGACCUCACCACUAGCUCUCAUAUUGUUAGAGCUCAGAAAAUCACCAAUUUCUUAAUUUUAAAUAAACUUUUAGCGAAUUGGACAAGAAAUUCUUUGCACCUUAGAAAUAUUGUGGAAUGUCUGGAUUUUUUUUCUCAUUUUCUUUCCCACACUUAAACUUUUAUUUUUUUCCCCCAGACAAUAAAGCACUCGGUGACCAUACUUUACGGUUUAAUAAACCAACUUAGCGUUUUAAAAUCCUUACCAUUUUGAUCAUCGAACUUCCCUUCACUCCUCAGUGCACCAUAGGCUGAAUUUUGCUCCUUAGUCAAAUGAAACCCUUCUCCCCAGAAAACCAAAGACAAUUAACACCCGUUUUGUGAUGUCAUCCUUGACAUACACACUCAAUGCAAUUGACAACUUUUUCUGUCUUAAAUUCCGCCUGAUGGAAACUUGCAUACCACUCUUCUUCCCGUCGAUAUUUCUUUCCUCCUCCGCCCUCCUGUCUUUCCACUGUUCAGUUUUAACCAUGGCUCUUCUUUCCUCUCACUCUACCUACCCUCAGGCAUUUCCUGUAAGUUGCUUUUUUUGUUGUUGUUAGUUUUGGUUUUUAAAGCAGGGGUUCAUGUAGUCCAGACUGGCCUCAAACUCACUGUGUAGCACCCAGAACAACUUUGAACUUCUGAUCUUCCUGUUUCCACAUUCCAAGUGCUAGGAUGACUAUUGUAUACCACCGUGCCUAAUGAACUUGGUAAUGGGGCUCAAACUCGAUGUUUUGAGCAUGGUACUAUACCAAUUGAGCUACUUGCCUACCCCCUUCAAUUCCUUGUAUACUUUUCUUUCUUUCAACCCAAAUUACUGCCAUAACUUCUUCUAAUUGUGUUGCUGCUAUUGAUCUACGUUUCAGUCUUCUGUAAUUAAAACUUUCUCUGACUCGUUAGAUAAAGAUGAGAUACAUAUAAACAACAUGGAAAAACUUCCAGUUUUUGUACUUCCUUCUCAUUUUGGCAUGCCACUGGUCCACCUCAAGAUAAAUCACCUGUAUGUAGCCCUUUCUUUGUGUCGUGUUUUGUCUUUGAAUUUCUCCUUUCUCUGCCAGGAAAGCUCCUGCUGAUCUUUCCACGUUCCCUCUAUGUUUUGUCUUUUGAGGGGCUUGUGUUUGCUACUGCGACUCUGUGUGUAGUUCUCUUUAGAGAACUAUGUAGAUAUCUCAUUACAUGUGGACUCUCAGUUUCUUAGGAAUGUGAAUGGAAGUUUGUUAGUCAGGCAUAGAAUUUCAAAUGAUGCAGAAUGCUCAAUUAAUAUUUGUGGACUAUCCAGGUGGAUAAAAUUAUAAAUAUCAGGUGAGCAUUGAGCUACUUAUCCUUUUAAAUGUCAGCUUUGGAAUCAUGUAAUUCUAAAGAGAGUUUUGUUUCUAAUACUAAGGAAUCAAAUAUUAAUACUUUUGCCUUGCAUACCCAGCAUCUGUGCUUUCUAGAGCUCAUAUAUUUUAUGUAGUGAUGCAAUCUUUUCCAAAUAAUUCCACUGAGGAUAUGUACAGAAAAACAACAAGUAAAUGCCCCAGAGAACAGCAGAAUCCUAUUAAAAAUUUGAGUUGAAAAAUGUAGGAUUUUAAAACUUUAAAAGGAAGCUAUUUAGCUGAACAAUUUGGUCUAGCGUAGUUUAGCAUACUGCCAGCUUCAUCAAGAAAAUUUAAGGUCUAAGAAAAAGCAGCUCACAAUUCACAUAAAGUUAGCUUUCAUCUCCUAAAUAUUGGCCUGAUAAUGUCUUGGUUUAAACUUUUCAUUCAUUCCAGUCAACAGGGCUUGCUAAUGAAAACUUUAGGAAGCACAUUCAAAUGUACAAAUCAUCCACAGUGUGGUCUUUAGCCAUAUUUUCAUAGGCAAGCUGUAAUGAAAGAACUGAAUUUUAGUGCCCCCCCUUGAGUGAAGCCAAGUUAGGCUACAAACACCCUUCCUGUCCACAGAGUGAUGCUGGCACAAAUUUGCUCCGGUACAUUAAUUUUUCCAUCCUAACUUUGUGGGCAGGGACAAGCUUGCAGCUCUCUGUGGAUACAGAUCUAGGGAUGCUGAGAAGAGCACAGGUAUUUUAUGGUUUGGUCAGAUAUAUAUUCCAGCACUUUUGGAAGAAGAAAAAAGCAUCAAACCCAAUUUGAGCUAAUAAACUAAUGACUGCUAUCCCUAAUGACUGAGCUUCAAAGGAGAUCUUAAUUAAGUGACUCAGUUAUUAUUAUAUUGCCAUGUAUUUUUUAUUCCUUCCUGUUAAAUCAUGCAUUUGGUGUUAUAUAGAAUCUCUAUGCUUAUUAAAAAAUAACUAGUAUGCAUGAGCUUAUGAAAGGGAACUUCACUCAGAUUUUUAAAAAGCAAAUGAAAACCUUCAAAUCUAACUGGGGCCAUAUGGUAUACUCAGAAACACUUGUGAAAGGAAAGUUAAACCUUGAAUAUAUUGAUGAUUUUACUGAAAGGGAAAAAGUCUCUUUUCCAUCUUUGCGUCUGAAAACACUUUUGAAUCAAGCAUUAGGAACACAUUUCUGUAGAAGAAACUGAAUUCGGUAACAUAUAUCUAAUAUUAUGUUUAUAAAUAGUACAUGGUUUUGAAUAACACAAAAGCUUAACAUUCUGCCUUAAAACUGUUCUAGAGGCUUAAAAAUAUCUACAACUUAUUUUCCAUUUGCAUUUCUUCAUUGUGUCUUGCAAAUUCUUUUACCUUGUCUUUAUACAAAGACAAAAACCCAGCAAACCAGGUGUACUGCAUACGUACUUACAUGACUCUAGAAGUGCAAAUUUCCAUUGACUUGCCACUCAUUGGUUUUGCCUCCUCAUAAAUCUCUUAUACAUAAUUUAUACUAAUAUGUAAAUAAUAUACUAUGUUCUUGGUUAUUUGUUUUCCUUCCUUUCAAAUUGCAAAUGUGAACCUUGCAGAAAAACAAACAAAAAUCAAGAAUAUAUCACACUAAUGGAGAAUGUCUCUGGGUUGGAUGGCGAACAGUAAGCAGCCUUAGUGCUCAUUGAAACCAGAAGUACUUUCUCUUUAUGUACUGAAAAGUAAGCUUGUGAGUCUCUUACAUUGAUACCAUAUCCACUGGUACAUGUGCCUUUUUACUUCUUAUAGUAGUAAUAAGCAGAGCCCACGUAUUAAGACAGCAUCAUGCUGUGCUAUUAAAACUAAGGACAUUGUUUCUGGCAGGAUCUUCUUGCCCAGUCUGUUGUGAGAGAUAAGGAUUUGCUGUGCUACACCUUCAUGGAGGGGCAGAAAGAGACAAUCCUUCUUUGACAGAUAUCCAGAGCUUUCUAGGUGAUAAGUCAGGAUAGCAUUGAGUAAAAUAUUUAAUUUGGAUAUAAACAAAAUGAUUGCUUAUCAGCCAGGAGCAGCAAAGUAUUUAGUUGAUUUAGUUAACACUUAAUAAUAUGCAUGAGUUCCAGAAUGAGUCUUUAUAUUUUAACAUAUGAAUAGUUUAACACACCUGAAAAGAAUAAAGAUCUGUAAAUGACAAAAUGUGAAGGGUCAAAGAAGUUAAUAUGGCAACUUUUGUAAGUACAAAAAGAUUCUUAAUAAGCAUACUAGUCAUUUGAAGGAACAAUUGACAUUAAAAUUACAUAUCUAAACUGAGAACAUUGUUUAGACAUCUUGGCAUAAACUGAAAUUGGAUGUGGCAAUAAAAAUAGAAUUCCUGAGUAUUUAAUCACCUUGUCAUUCACAGUUUUCUCAUGGAAGCACAAACAGAGAUAUCUGCAGGUGGAACUUUUCUCCUGGUGAAGAUCUCUAAUUCCAUUGUUUGGAAUUAUGACUCCACCCCAGCCAAGUGGACAUGUUCUCCUGGUGGAGAGCUAUAAUCCCAUUGUUUGGCACUAUGACUCCAUCUCUAGCUUACAUUGCAAAAAACACUCAAAUAAAUGAAUAGCUAUGAAGAAAAGAAUGCUCAGGGCAAAAAAUAUAUUACCAAUAGACAAAAACUCUGAAUUCUGUGGGUGUAGAGCAAGUUAGAAGUCCCAUAAGGCAGAAACCAUGAGGUAUGAGAAGACCAAGGCUACAGAGACUAACUCUUGUCAAGAUUCCCCAAAGCAUCAUCCAUUCUCACUGAAUUGUCAAUCAUCAGAAUAAGAACAUCUAGCAAGAAUAAAUGUUCUCAUGCAAAGUAGAGAGAGGUGAGAACCCAUGGGGAAAGAAACUGGGUCUCAGAUGAAGUUCAGGAAAGAAUGGGAAAACAAGCAAGCAGGCCCCACUAAGAAUGUUAUAGAAAGACAAAAACUACCAAACAAAAAAAUGUUUAACAGUUUGGAGUGACGGUGUCUUUGAUAGCAAGGAAGAUACAGUUCACUAUUGCUAAACAGAUUCCCCAGGAACGUGAAGUUCCCACUCCUCAGACAAGAAAAAGGUGAGGCUCUUUAUAUAGUAGCUCAUAAUGACUUAUGUGUGCAGAAGAGGUAGGUGUGACUGUUCAAAAUUCCACUUUUUUCUCAUUUGAACAUUAAUUCAUAGGUAUAUUUGAUGAUAAGUUUAAAGUUGGCUAAAGUAUAUUAAUGCCUAAUCUCUAGCAUGCUAAAGAAUAAAUCUGCCUCAGAACUCAGCCCUAAACAGAAUAUAUGUACUCCAUUUCCUCUUCUUAGGGCUCAGGGAGGGUCAGAAGCUUCUGACCGUCAGAAGCAGUAGAUGGCUACCAGGAAAUGGGGUAUUCUGAAGACAGCAGGGAAGCUGCAUAUAUGCACUCACAGUGAGUGUUACAGUGUGCACAAGAUUUGUGUUAAGCCUAAGGCACAAGACUUGUAUUAAAUCCAAUCAUUGAAAGGAGGAACUGGGUAUGAAGUCCCAUCCAUAGCUGAGAAGCUCUGGCAUUUGUUAGCGAUUGAGAGAGAGAAAUUUAAUUUUUUCAAGGAAUAUAGCUACUUGUAGGUCAAGCAUAGUCUAAUACAUUCAAGACUAUUUGCUCAACAUAAAUUUGUCUUAUUGUUGGGGGAUGGGGGCACAAACUUAGGGUGAAAUUAAAAGAGGGUAGAUCUGGGAAGAGUUGGGGGAGGGGAGCUGACUAUGAUCAAAGCAUGUUAUAUAAAAUUCUCAUAGAAUUAAUAAAAUUAGAAAAAUUUUAAAAACAUAACUAGUCUUCAUAUUUCAAGACAGUUUUUGUCAUGUUACAAAAUGCACAUGGUUGGUUUUGAAGGCAAUCAAAAUCUCUCAUUUUUAAUCAUGUUUUUAAAACAUCAUUUUGUUAACAAUGUAUUUCCUAAUUUUCCAACUGCCUUAUUAUAUUUCUAGUUAAAUAAUUUUGCAUUCCACCUUUGUCAUAUACCAGAAUGGCUCAAAUAGUUCCAUGAUUUCAUGUACUCUUCGUAAUCAUUGAUUUUAAUGACUGCACAGCAUUAAAAUUUGUAGCUUUGCUAUAGUUAAUGGCAUUCAAUUGACUAUCUAAGUUGUUUUCUCUCUUUUAAGAGUAAAAUGUUAUUGUUAUUUCUGUGUAUGACACAUUUUGGUCUUUAUGUAAUAAGAAUACAGCAUAUUUCAUAAAAUAAAAUUUGAGGUCAAAGCUAUAAGUUGUAUGUAGUUUUAAUUACUUUUUACAAAUUUGCAAGCAAUGUAUGAAACUCAGAAAGAGAAACAAAGGGGAAGUAUUUAAUGAAAUGUUACAGCUUUCCUUCAUUUUCUGUCUCUUGUUCUCAUGGAUCUCCUUCAUUUUGUCCAUUCUGUUUACACAGCUUCUGUAAGUACAUAAGCACAUAUGAGUAAAGAUGCUUUCCUAUACAAAUAAUAUAUAUUAUCUAUAGUAUUGUUCCAUAACAUAUUUAUGUACUUCAUGGGAAGUCUUAUUUUUAACUGGAAGUUUUCAUUUUAUCUUUUCACAGUUUUAAAGUAUCUCAAAUUUCCUCAACGAAUCAUCUAAGCAUCAAUAUUUUAAUUUUAUGUACUAUAUAUGAAGUAAAAUUUCAGACACCUGUAUAGUACGUACAAUUAUCAUGCCUCCUUUCUACUUCUUUUUGUGAAGGUAACAGUUCGUCACUGAGAGGAAGUCAGGAACCUGGAGGCAGAGAUUGGAGUGGAGAUCACUGAGGAGUGCGACUUAUGGGCUUGCCAUCUGUGGCUUGCUCAGUUUGAUUUCUUACAGAAAACUAUGAUGUACAUUUUGCUUUAAAAUAAAUAUUUUAAAAGUCA